This 303-nucleotide ribosomal RNA is filed under the name uncultured Legionella sp. RNAcentral describes it as "bacterial SSU rRNA". It matches the Rfam family "Bacterial small subunit ribosomal RNA", at positions 284 to 580 of the family's 1533-position model. Lineage: Bacteria; Pseudomonadati; Pseudomonadota; Gammaproteobacteria; Legionellales; Legionellaceae. The record is from RNAcentral.
UAGCUGGUCUGAGAGGAUGAMCAGCCACACUGGAACUGAGACACGGUCCAGACUCCUACGGGAGGCAGCAGUGGGGAAUAUUGGACAAUGGGGGCAACCCUGAUCCAGCAAUGCCGCGUGUGUGAAGAAGGCCUGAGGGUUGUAAAGCACUUUCAGUGGGGAGGAGGAUUAGUAGGUUAAGAGCUGAUAAUUGGACGUUACCCACAGAAGAAGCACCGGCUAACUCCGUGCCAGCAGCCGCGGUAAUACGGAGGGUGCRAGCGUUAAUCGGAAUKACUGGGCGUAAAGGGUGCGUAGGUGGUU